UCGGAAGGUGCGGCUGGAUCACCUCCUUUCUAGGGAGACAUACACCGAGCCAAGAGCUUGGAUGUCACUUAGGUCGACACUUUGGCGAGUAAGUAGACGUAGCAUAAGCGCUAGCUGUACUUACAUACUUAUCAUUGUUUGGUUUUGAGAGAUCUGUAAAGACUCUCAGAUGGUUUAAUACCAUUUACAAUUUAAUAGAUUUCGAUGGCUAUCUAGGCGCAUGAGAUGAACGACGUCGCCGCGUAAUGGUAAUUACGCAAGACAAGUGAAGCGAAUGCAACGACGAUAGACGCGAAAUAUAUGAAUUGUUUGUUCUUUGAAAACUGCAUAGAAGAUAAUUAUAUAUAUUUGUAAGGUCAUCUCUUAGAAUUUCUAAGUAGGUUGACCCGAGCACAUAGGAAAUAAUUCUCUGACUUAAUGGUGACGUACAUGUAAAAUGUACGGCUACAAAAAACGACAAUGUAUCUAAUGCAUGUCAAUAUUAUCUCUCAUGUAUUCAAUCAUGAGAUUUUCGUUAGCAUUUGAUGCAUAUCUAGGAGCCUGAGCGAGAUGAAGCCGCCGCGUACUAUUGUACGUAAGGCAAAAUCGAGCGUGAGGCGACGACGAUAGGCGCAAAUGAUAACGCAAAAUAAGUAAAGAUAAUAAGGGCGUACGGUGGAUGCCUUGGCGAUAUCAGCCGAAGAAGGACGCGGUAAGCUGCGAUAAGCUACGGAGAGGUGCAAGCAACCUGUGACCCGUAG
RNAcentral lists this unclassified non-coding RNA (740 nucleotides) under Veillonella parvula. RNAcentral's name for it is "partial contains 16S ribosomal RNA, 16S-23S ribosomal RNA intergenic spacer, and 23S ribosomal RNA". The stretch from base 632 to 740 matches the Rfam family "Bacterial large subunit ribosomal RNA", at positions 1 to 109 of the family's 2925-position model. The record is from RNAcentral. Lineage: Bacteria; Bacillati; Bacillota; Negativicutes; Veillonellales; Veillonellaceae.